This 59-nucleotide transfer RNA is filed under the name Wellcomia compar. RNAcentral's name for it is "tRNA-Glu". Lineage: Eukaryota; Metazoa; Nematoda; Chromadorea; Rhabditida; Oxyuridae. The record is from RNAcentral.
GUUUUUAGUAUAUUUUUUUGAGUAUUUUUUUUUUUCGUGAAAAAGGAUGAUAGAACUUU